Molecule: ribosomal RNA, 117 nt
Filed under: Labrus bergylta (ballan wrasse)
Lineage: Eukaryota; Metazoa; Chordata; Actinopteri; Labriformes; Labridae
Source: RNAcentral
GCUUACGGCCAUACCACCCUGAACACGCCCGAUCUCGUCCGAUCUAGAAGCUAAGCAGGGUAGGGCCUGGUUAGUAUUGGAUGGGAGACCGCCUGGGAAUACCAGGUGCUGUAAGCU